GCCCGCCUAGCUCAAUCGGAUAGAGCGUCAGACUUUUAAGGCGGGACAGUCUAAAUCUGAAGGCUGCGAGUUCGACCCUCGCGGUGGGCU
Molecule: non-coding RNA, 90 nt
Organism: Lentinula lateritia
Lineage: Eukaryota; Fungi; Basidiomycota; Agaricomycetes; Agaricales; Omphalotaceae
Source: the annotation of a GenBank genome assembly